This 175-nucleotide non-coding RNA is filed under the name Janthinobacterium sp. Lineage: Bacteria; Pseudomonadati; Pseudomonadota; Betaproteobacteria; Burkholderiales; Oxalobacteraceae. The record is from RNAcentral.
GUAUAAUGCCGGGGUUCUGGUGCUUGCCCAUGUGCUCACAUGCGCAGUUAAACGGGAAACACAGGCCGCCCGCGCUCGCAGCGUGACGGCCAAGGUGUGCUGCCCCCGCAACGGUAACGCAAGGCCGCUUGAGCGCCUUGCCAGCCCGGAUACCGGCCAGAUAUGGGGGAAGCGC